GAGUUUGAUCGUGGCUCAGAACUAACGCUGGCGGCGUGCCUAACACAUGCAAGUCGAACGAGAAGCCCGCAAGGGUUGUAAAGUGGCGGACGGGUGCGUAACACGUGGGUAAUCUACCCUAUGGCCUGGGAUAACCUGCCGAAAGGCGGGCUAAUACCGGAUAAGACCACGGCUCUGCGGAGCUGUGGGAAAAGACCCGCAAGGGUCACCGUUUGAUGAGCCCGCGGCCUAUCACGGUAGUUGGUGAGGUAAUGGCUCACCAAGCCUACGACGGGUAGCUGGUCUGAGAGGACGACCAGUCACACUGGAACUGAGACACGGUCCAGACUCCUACGGGAGGCAGCAGUGGGGAAUAUUGCGCAAUGGGCGAAAGCCUGACGCAGCAACGCCGCGUGGGUGAUGAAGGUCUUCGGAUUGUAAAGCACUUUCGACCGGGACGAAAACCCGCUGGCCAAUAUCCAGCGGCUUGACGGUACCGGGAGAAGAAGCACCGGCUAACUCUGUGCCAGCAGCCGCCGCUGUAAG
Molecule: ribosomal RNA, 525 nt
Filed under: uncultured delta proteobacterium
Lineage: Bacteria; Deltaproteobacteria
Description: bacterial SSU rRNA
Rfam family: Bacterial small subunit ribosomal RNA
Source: RNAcentral